RNAcentral lists this ribosomal RNA (275 nucleotides) under uncultured bacterium. RNAcentral describes it as "partial 16S ribosomal RNA". It matches the Rfam family "Bacterial small subunit ribosomal RNA", at positions 399 to 691 of the family's 1533-position model. The record is from RNAcentral.
GCGUGAGUGAUGAAGGCCCUAGGGUUGUAAAGCUCUUUUACCCGGGAUGAUAAUGACAGUACCGGGAGAAUAAGCUCCGGCUAACUCCGUGCCAGCAGCCGCGGUAAUACGGAGGGAGCUAGCGUUGUUCGGAAUUACUGGGCGUAAAGCGCGCGUAGGCGGUUUACCAAGUCAGGGGUGAAAUCCCGGAGCUCAACUCCGGAACUGCCCUUGAAACUGGUUCACUAGAAUCUUGGAGAGGCGAGUGGAAUUCCGAGUGUAGAGGUGAAAUUCGU